GAUGAACGCUGGCGGCGUGCCUAAUACAUGCAAGUCGAGCGAACGGACGAGGAGCUUGCUUUUCUGAUGUUAGCGGCGGACGGGUGAGUAACACGUGGAUAACCUACCUAUAAGACUGGGAUAACUUCGGGAAACCGGAGCUAAUACCGGAUAAUAUUUUGAACCGCAUGGUUCAAAAGUGAAAGACGGUCUUGCUGUCACUUAUAGAUGGAUCCGCGCUGCAUUAGCUAGUUGGUAAGGUAACGGCUUACCAAGGCAACGAUGCGUAGCCGACCUGAGAGGGUGAUCGGCCACACUGGAACUGAGACACGGUCCAGACUCCUACGGGAGGCAGCAGUAGGGAAUCUUCCGCAAAGGGCGAAAGCCUGACGGAGCAACGCCGCGUGAGUGAUGAAGGUCUUCGGAUCGUAAAACUCUGUUAUUAGGGAAGAACAUAUGUGUAAGUAACUGUGCACAUCUUGACGGUACCUAAUCAGAAAGCCACGGCUAACUACGUG
Molecule: ribosomal RNA, 497 nt
Filed under: uncultured bacterium
Lineage: Bacteria
Description: partial 16S ribosomal RNA
Rfam family: Bacterial small subunit ribosomal RNA
Source: RNAcentral